ACAUCACAUCAAACUCUUACAAGUCUAGAAGAGCAGCUGUUGGACAGAAAGACAUCAGCUGAGUGGGAAGGAUUUUGACCUGAGAUGUGACUGCUCUGUGCUGUUGCUGAUGACUCCAGUUAAUCCUACAAGACAUGCUGUAUCAUCAGAAUGAAAGUUAUUGGCCAUGUUUGCAGAGCCCUU
Maylandia zebra (zebra mbuna) is the source of this 183-nucleotide long non-coding RNA. RefSeq lists it as uncharacterized. The record is from RefSeq and is a predicted model, not a curated record. NCBI's taxonomy places the organism in Eukaryota, Metazoa, Chordata, Actinopteri, Cichliformes, Cichlidae.